AUCAACGCUGGCGGCGUGCCUCAGACAUGCAAGUCGAACGCGAAAGGUUCCUUCGGGAACCGAGUAGAGUGGCGCACGGGUGAGUAACACGUAGGUAAUUUGCCUUUGGGUGGGGAAUAACAGCCGGAAACGGCUGCUAAUACCGCAUAAUGCAGCGGCUCGACAUCGAGACAGUUGUUAAAGCGGGGGAUCGCAAGACCUCGCGCCUAAAGAGAAGCCUGCGGCAGAUUAGCUAGUUGGUAGGGUAAUGGCCUACCAAGGCGACGAUCUGUAACCGGCCUGAGAGGGCGGUCGGUCACACUGACACUGACAUACGGGGUCAGACUCCUACGGGAGGCAGCAGUCGGGAAUUUUGGGCAAUGGGCGAAAGCCUGACCAGCAACGCCGCGUGAAGGAUGAAAUCCUCGGGAUGUAAACUUC
Molecule: ribosomal RNA, 420 nt
Filed under: uncultured bacterium
Lineage: Bacteria
Description: bacterial SSU rRNA
Rfam family: Bacterial small subunit ribosomal RNA
Source: RNAcentral